GCCCUUAUAGUUCAAUGGAUAGAACAGUUCCGUCCUAAGGAAUAGAUCUCCGUUCGAUUCGGAGUAAGGGCA
Molecule: transfer RNA, 72 nt
Filed under: Minisyncoccota bacterium
Lineage: Bacteria; Bacillati; Minisyncoccota
Description: tRNA-Arg
Rfam family: tRNA
About the family: Transfer RNA (tRNA) molecules are approximately 80 nucleotides in length. Their secondary structure includes four short double-helical elements and three loops (D, anti-codon, and T loops).
Source: RNAcentral